Molecule: long non-coding RNA, 2113 nt
Organism: Anser cygnoides (Swan goose)
Lineage: Eukaryota; Metazoa; Chordata; Aves; Anseriformes; Anatidae
Source: Ensembl
GUUUCCCAGAGAGGAUGCCCAGGUGAGCAGGUAACGGUUUGCAUCAGUUGAUGUUCUCAUAUUCUGCAGAUUAACUUCUGGAAAGAUGGUAAUCCAGCUUUCUCACCACGAGCUUAUACAUUAAAUUGCAAUUCUGAUCUAUUUUGCACAGUGCUCUCGUUUUAUAUAUAGGUUUCCAAAAUUUAGAUAUUUGAUUAUAAUUGAUCUCAUUUGCUUUUUCUUUACCAAAAGAACCUCGUCACCUAAUUCCUGCCUGUCUCCUUUGAGUUAAUUUAUCUGUGAUAACCCCAUCAAUCUACUGGGUAUAUAAAUCAACUGUGUAGCUCAGCAGCUGCUUGAUAAAUGAGUGCCCAGCUGCUGAUGCACUCUGCCUCUGCCACGUAUGGGGUCCUGGCUGCCAGCAGGCUUUGAAGUGGCAAAAAAAAGUGUUUGGUAUUGACCUAUGAAUCCUAAAGGGUUGAAGACCAUUCUCCUUGAUACUCUUCCGGCAUCACAGUGUCCUGAAUCGUUUCAGGCCACGUUAAUUAGUCAGCAGCUAAACGUGAGGCCACCUCGCCGCCAGCCUGAGCGCCGGGGAAAAGCAGCAGGGGCUGGGCAAGGACAUUACAUCCAAGCAGGCAAGGUAAAACCCUCAGUGAUGAAUCUGCGUUCAUCAAGCCGGUUAAAUGGAAGAAGAUCAGUAUUUUAUGCAUAGUCUUCACUGCACAUAUUAAAAUGCAAUGGAAAAUGCAGGCAAUGAGGAGGAGAAGCUUAUUCUUUUUUUUUUUUUAAAAAAAAAGAUGACCUUGUGAAAAUAUGAGCAAUUUCCAUUCUGAUGGUGGAAAAGAUUUUGCACAUUGAUAAACUGGAGCGACUUUCUUCAAACUUUGGACAGUGCAUGUAAGCAAACGGCCGUUCUUCUGACAUCUGUGGGAAAAGCAGGGUUUGUGUAUCAGGGUCAGUAUCAGUAAGACUUCUGUAACGUAUCGAAUAUAUUAUCUUUACAUGAGCUGAUCAGAUGGAGCGUACAGGUAACUUCUUACGAGCUUUACUGUGGAUUUACCACAGCUUUAGUGGGAGAGCUCCUCUGUUGGCCAGGCACCGUUCCUGCAGGAGCGGGGCUACGUGGGGUCAGCAAACACCACGAGUACUUAUUAGUAAAAUCUUCCUUCUUGCCACAGAUCGCAGGUCGAACUGCUGUGGCCGUGGGUAGCCUUGUGCUGCUUUUUGUGCUCCCGUGGGAUGCUGCAGGAGCUCCGUGCCAGCAGCCCCCAUGGAGAGGGAAGCACGCAAAGGCAAAGAGCGCGUGUAAGCUCUCUUUGAAACCAGACCUCGCUCACACAAUUAAGAAAAUUGCUUUGGAGGGAGAAAAAGCCCGGCUGUGCAUCGGGUAGCGUGCUAUACGCUAUUGAAAUAAUUAUUUCAUGGAAGGAAAAAAAAAGUCAGUCUUUGGUUUUUGGGAAAUGGGACUUCACUGUGGAAAAGCGAGAAUGGUGCUCGCUACAGAGACUACAAAAGAGUAAUAACCAAGAGCUUUUGAAAGCAGAAAUAAUUCUACCAGGAUUACCUGAAUUGCACCGAAGACUGGAAAUUAGUGGAACUCCCGACGGUGGGAAAUUCUGCAAUACCCUUCGCACGCAGCGGUGAGGGGGAGCCGUCCGGUGAGUUCUGAGCCCGGCAAAUUGCUUAAGAAGAUUACAUUAUGUGAUCUGCCGUGCUGGGUGUUUCUGGGAGGCCCCAGCCCAACACAGGAUUUUCCCGUGUUAUUAACUGUAAGCUAGGGAACUUUGAGUACUCACGGUUAAGUAAAUGCUUAAAUGAUUUCCUCAUUUGAGACCCGAAUAAUAUUUAAAGUCUUUGCAGUACUGUAGCUGAAAGGUACAUUACAAAUUACUUUUCUUCCCCCCAUCCCUGUAGGGUAUGAGCAUACUCAGUUCUCUUUUAUAAAUUUCAGUGGUAGAUAAUAAGAAUUUCAGGAAGUGAUGGAAAUUGAGAUUUAAUUUACUGCAUUUCUUUCAUUAAAUGAUUCUCUCAUAUAUAUAAAAAAAAAGCCAUAAAUUAGAGCAUACUUAGAAGUAAUUACAAGUCAGGAAGCUAAAAAAAAAGUAAAUAAAGAAAAAUAAAUUUGUUGUCA